RNAcentral lists this ribosomal RNA (492 nucleotides) under uncultured bacterium. RNAcentral's name for it is "partial 16S ribosomal RNA". It matches the Rfam family "Bacterial small subunit ribosomal RNA", at positions 29 to 507 of the family's 1533-position model. The record is from RNAcentral.
AGUGAACGCUGGCGGUAGGCCUAACACAUGCAAGUCGAACGGCAGCACAGUAAGAGCUUGCUCUUACGGGUGGCGAGUGGCGGACGGGUGAGGAAUACAUCGGAAUCUACUUUUUCGUGGGGGAUAACGUAGGGAAACUUACGCUAAUACCGCAUACGACCUACGGGUGAAAGCAGGGGAUCUUCGGACCUUGCGCGAUUGAAUGAGCCGAUGUCGGAUUAGCUAGUUGGCGGGGUAAAGGCCCACCAAGGCGACGAUCCGUAGCUGGUCUGAGAGGAUGAUCAGCCACACUGGAACUGAGACACGGUCCAGAGUCCUACGGGAGGCAGCAGUGGGGAAUAUUGGACAAUGGGCGCAAGCCUGAUCCAGCCAUAACGAGUGGGUGAAGAAGGCCUUCGGGUUGUAAAGCCCUUUUGUUGGGAAAGAAAAGCAGCAGGUUAAUACCCAGCUGUUCUGACGGUACCCAAAGAAUAAGCACCGGCUAACUUCGUG